GCAUUGGUGGUUCAGUGGUAGAAUUCUCGCCUUCCAUGCGAGAAACCUGAGUCCAAUUCCCGGCCAAUGCA
Molecule: non-coding RNA, 71 nt
Organism: Colossoma macropomum (tambaqui)
Lineage: Eukaryota; Metazoa; Chordata; Actinopteri; Characiformes; Serrasalmidae
Source: the annotation of a RefSeq genome assembly